AACGAACGCUAACGGCGUGCUUAACACAUGCAAGUCGCACGAGAAUUUCCGCCUUCGGGUGGAUUAGUAAAGUGGCGCACGGGUGAGUAACGCGUGGAUAAUCUGCCUUCAAGACGGGAAUAACAUUGCGAAAGCGAUGCUAAUACCGGAUAAGCUCACGAUUUGAUUAGUUGUGGGAAAAGAUGGCCUAGUCUAUGCUAUCGCUUGAAGAUGAGUCCGCGUACCAUUAGCUAGUUGGUAGGGUAAUGGCCUACCAAGGCAAUGAUGGUUAGCUGGCCUGAGAGGGCGGCCAGCCACACUGGGACUGAGAUACGGCCCAGACUCCUACGGGUGGCAG
RNAcentral lists this ribosomal RNA (337 nucleotides) under uncultured Pseudomonadota bacterium. RNAcentral describes it as "bacterial SSU rRNA". It matches the Rfam family "Bacterial small subunit ribosomal RNA", at positions 29 to 351 of the family's 1533-position model. The record is from RNAcentral. Lineage: Bacteria; Pseudomonadati; Pseudomonadota.